This 56-nucleotide non-coding RNA is filed under the name unclassified sequences. RNAcentral's name for it is "S15-Flavobacteria ribosomal protein leader". It matches the Rfam family "S15-Flavobacteria ribosomal protein leader". The record is from RNAcentral.
UAUAUUUGCGCCGCUGAAUAGCAUACAUAAAAAUCAUUUAAAAUAAUAUUGGCAUG